CGACUACUGUGGCUACUGUUGCAUGGCCUACACUGCUUCGGUGAGGCCUCUGACCUGCUGAACCAAUAGGUCGAACUACUCUAUGCUGACUACCAUUAUCGGAGGAGAAGGAGCCUGGGAAACUGGGGAUGAGGUCAGAGCUUGUGGGUCUCGCUGAGAUCUGGCUGCGAAGGUCGUGGAUCGCCUGGUGGAUACCUUUCGGGGAGGCAUCAGGUGG
This 217-nucleotide long non-coding RNA is filed under the name Elaeis guineensis (African oil palm). RNAcentral describes it as "long non-coding RNA (EGUI_LNC056055)". Lineage: Eukaryota; Viridiplantae; Streptophyta; Magnoliopsida; Arecales; Arecaceae. The record is from RNAcentral.